GGCGUACUCGCAACAAAAAUACCAAAUCUAUUCCCCAGCGCAAGGAGAUUUUCUUAUCCCACCAUAUACACCAUUCAGUCUUUCUUUGCAGGGUGACAAGACUCUCCAAGAAUAGCACAGUCACCAUCCCACUAAAGGUAUGAGAAAUUCGAAAAAUUAUUGUCUAAACUCAAUAUUCUCUGUGACAUUAACACGAGUAGUUAAAUCUAGAUGUUUGUUUGGAAUUCAUGAUGAACUAAGUAUUUGAUAUUUGGAGUCAAUGAUCAAAUGCAUGUAUAUUUGUUUAAUU
Molecule: unclassified non-coding RNA, 289 nt
Filed under: Hevea brasiliensis (rubber tree)
Lineage: Eukaryota; Viridiplantae; Streptophyta; Magnoliopsida; Malpighiales; Euphorbiaceae
Source: RNAcentral